This 279-nucleotide ribosomal RNA is filed under the name uncultured Alistipes sp. Its description in RNAcentral is "partial 16S ribosomal RNA". It matches the Rfam family "Bacterial small subunit ribosomal RNA", at positions 65 to 339 of the family's 1533-position model. The record is from RNAcentral. Lineage: Bacteria; Pseudomonadati; Bacteroidota; Bacteroidia; Bacteroidales; Rikenellaceae.
AGGGGCAGCAUAAUGGAUAGCAAUAUCUAUGGUGGCGACCGGCGCACGGGUGCGUAACGCGUAUGCAACCUACCUUUAACAGGGGGAUAAUCCGAAGAAAUUUGGUCUAAUACCCCAUAAUAUCAUUUAAGGCAUCUUAGAUGGUUGAAAAUUCCGAUGGUUAAAGAUGGGCAUGCGUUGUAUUAGCUAGUUGGUGGGGUAACGGCUCACCAAGGCGACGAUACAUAGGGGGACUGAGAGGUUAACCCCACACUGGUACUGAGACACGGACCAGACUCC